Molecule: long non-coding RNA, 468 nt
Organism: Cyprinodon tularosa
Lineage: Eukaryota; Metazoa; Chordata; Actinopteri; Cyprinodontiformes; Cyprinodontidae
Exons: 3
Source: RefSeq, a predicted model, not a curated record
GAAAUGUAUUAUAUCCAUGGGAAAAGCUAAGCGAGUCAGGAACUCUGGGCUGAGGUGGGAAAAGAGAGAGGAAAAGUCCAAGAUCAAGUGUGGAAAAAGUCUAAAACAUAUUGAAUGCAAAGAGGGAUAGGAUAUUUAAGGUUUCCUUUGAGCAGAUAUGUAGCCCCAAAUUAAAAGUAAGCCUCCAUUAUGUUUCAAGGCAUUUCAUCACAGCGCUGCAUCUCCCGAGCCUGUAACAUUAUCAAUGACCCCUCCCACCCACACCAAGAACUGUUCUCCAUGCUGACAUCUGGGAAGAGGCUUCGCAGCAUUUGAUACAGGACCUGCAGAUUCUGCAACAGUUUCUUCCCCACCACGUCAGACAGCUGAAUGUUGAAAAAACUCUUAAUCAUGUCACAGACAUGUCAUCAAACUGACACCAAUCCAAAACCUGCAAAAUAAAUACCAUAUAUAUUUAAUUUUCUCCCA